GGAGAGGUGUCCGAGUGGCUGAAGGAGCACGCUUGGAAAGCGUGUAUGCGGGGAACCGUAUCGAGGGUUCGAAUCCCUCUCUCUCCGCCA
This 90-nucleotide transfer RNA is filed under the name Candidatus Saccharimonadota bacterium. RNAcentral describes it as "Candidatus Saccharibacteria bacterium tRNA-Ser". It matches the Rfam family "tRNA". Rfam says of the family: Transfer RNA (tRNA) molecules are approximately 80 nucleotides in length. Their secondary structure includes four short double-helical elements and three loops (D, anti-codon, and T loops). Further hydrogen bonds mediate the characteristic L-shaped molecular structure. tRNAs have two regions of fundamental functional importance: the anti-codon, which is responsible for specific mRNA codon recognition, and the 3' end, to which the tRNAs corresponding amino acid is attached (by aminoacyl-tRNA synthetases). tRNAs cope with the degeneracy of the genetic code in two manners: having more than one tRNA (with a specific anti-codon) for a particular amino acid; and 'wobble' base-pairing, i.e. permitting non-standard base-pairing at the 3rd anti-codon position. Lineage: Bacteria; Candidatus Saccharimonadota. The record is from RNAcentral.